GGCGAGACUGCCUCACCUCUGUCGAGAAAAGAAGCAAAAAACACUGAAUGGGAAAGCUAGUGCUGGGAAGCAACAAACGAGUGUCGUGCAGCGUCGAGGUCGAAGAUGGCGCCGUUGAUAAAGUUUGGUGUGUUUUUCAGCAGUAAUGGGACACGUUUUCUGCAAUAGGAAUGGAAUAUGUGGUUCCGUCAAUUAUUGCGACGUAAUCACUGUUGUCUUGCAAGUCGCCAGAAGUAAGGACAUAUUGUGGACCUGUGAAUCCUGAAGGGGCAGACGGAGCAACUCGACAAGUUUGUGGUGUGCAGAUUUGAUACGCCAAGUGGCCGUAGUGGAGCUGCAGUCAAUUGUUUUAGCAAAAUGGACGAUAUGAAGAAGCGUGCACAAGUAGUAUGGUGGUAUGCAGAGACAAAAUCGGCGACCGAAGUUGCAAAGAAACUUUCGUCGAGUUUACAACAAAGGGCCCCCGUUGUUGAAGACUAUAAAGAAGUGGUGUGAUCAGUUUUUGGCUACUGGGAGUGUUGCAAAAGGGCGUGGUGGUGGUAAGCCUGGGAUCGGCGAUCAUCAUGUGGAACAAGUGCGGCGGUCAUUCCGAAAGUUAAUGUGUGGUGUGGUUUGAUGAUAAAUCACAUUGUUGGGCCGUUUUUCUUUCAGGAGCCGACUGUGGAUGGAGCCAUCUACCUGGACAUGUUAGAACAUUUUGCCAUGGCACGGAUAACAGACCUGCAGCCAGAUAUGAUGUUUCAACAGGACAGUGCACCACCCCAUUCGAGCCUUGAUGUCCGAAAAUUUUUAAAUGACACAUUCCCGCAACGAUGGAUUGGCCGUGGAGGUCCAACUCCUUGGUCGCCACGUUCGCCCGACAUAACCCCUCUCAAUUUUUUCUUGUGGGGUUAUGUGAAAGACCGGGUACACGCUACACCAGUAAAGGACCUGCAAGACUUGAAACAGCGCAUAAGAAUUGUCAUCAACUCGGUCACAGAACAGAUGCUCCGCAACACAUGGCACGAAAUCGAUUAUAGACUUGAUAUUCUUCGCGCUACCUGUGGUGCCCAUGUUAAAUUGUACUGAACCAUCCACUUGUGUAUGAAAACUUGAUGAGCUGCUGUAUGAUUUCCCUGUAUUUGUUCGUCAAUAAAUUGUGUUUUUACUCUGA
Schistocerca serialis cubense is the source of this 1153-nucleotide long non-coding RNA. RefSeq lists it as uncharacterized. The record is from RefSeq and is a predicted model, not a curated record. Lineage: Eukaryota; Metazoa; Arthropoda; Insecta; Orthoptera; Acrididae. The transcript is spliced from 2 exons.